GGCCUAUUGAAAGUUAAUUUUAGGUCUUACCUGCCCACUGAGAAUUUAAAUGGCCGCAGUAUUUUGACUGUGCUAAGGUAGCAUAAUCAUUAGUUUUUUAAUUGAAAGCUAGUAUGAAGGGUUUGAUGAAAAAAAAACUGUCUUUUAAUAAUUAAAUUAAAAUUUUAUUAUUAAGUUAAAAAGCUUAAAUUUUUUUAAAAGACGAGAAGACCCUAUAGAGUUUUAUUUUUUUAUUUUAUAUAAUAUUUAGAAUUUAAAAUUAUAUAUUUUAUAAGAAAUUUAAUUGGGGCGAUUGAAAAAUUUAAUAAACUUUUUUUAUUUUUACUUAUAAAUUUAUAUAUUUUUGAUCCAUAAUAAAUGAUUAUAAGAUAAAAUUACCUUAGGGAUAACAGCGUAAUUUUAUUGGAGAGUUCAAAUCGAUAAUAAAGAUUGCGA
This 435-nucleotide ribosomal RNA is filed under the name Altica ericeti. Its description in RNAcentral is "partial 16S large subunit ribosomal RNA". Lineage: Eukaryota; Metazoa; Arthropoda; Insecta; Coleoptera; Chrysomelidae. The record is from RNAcentral.